CCCCUCAAGCGUAGCUUGGUAUUGGGCGUUCGCGGCUCUCCUUUUGGGGGGCGGUGUGCCCGAAAAGCAGUGGCGGUCCCCGGGGAUUCCGCGCGUAGUAAUUCAUUCCCGCGUUGGAACACCCGGUGGGUAGCGCCAAAAAACCCCCAUAAAUCUCCACAAUUGACCUCGGAUCAGGUAGGGAUACCCGCUGAACUUAA
RNAcentral lists this unclassified non-coding RNA (200 nucleotides) under soil metagenome. RNAcentral's name for it is "partial contains internal transcribed spacer 2 and large subunit ribosomal RNA". The record is from RNAcentral.